AGUCGCAUGGACGUGUGCGUGUGCGUGCCCCUCUGCCGUUUUCCCGUUGUGUCUCCGUGCCGCUGCCCUGCUCCUCGUCUUCCCCGCCCCCUCCAUGCGCGUGUGCGUGUGCGGGCGAGGCGGCUGAUCGAGGGGACGACGAGGUGGAGAGCAGCCACGGCACCGCAGCGCUGGGGAUACAUGGGCAGUGUGCAGGAGCAGCGGAGGAGAGGCACGCACACGCACUCUGGCAAGGGAGUAGUGGUGCGGAGGCCGCAGGGGAAUACGCAGCGGAGCGAGUGGGUACGGAGGCGGAGCGGAGGAGAGGCAGCGCUGCUUCUCUGUUCGCCCCGCUUGCGUUGGACUCGAGUGUGUCUGCGUGUGCGCCCCCUGCGGCCCUGGGCCCCCUCGCCUCUCUUGCGCGCUUCGCGUCGCUUGUUUCGUUGCUGUGGCUGUCUAACUACGCCAUCGAGUCGGCCAGAGUCGCGUGCGCGGAGUAUUCACACCACAUUACGGCAUGCGGCAUGCACCUACACCAGCCCCUGCGGCCUGCACGGCAGACGCCGCCGCCUCCGCCCUCGAGCAGGACCCUGCACCGGGGUCCGUGUGGCGCCGGUCGCGCUGCACGCGUGCGAGGGCGAUACGCGGAGGGACAAGGCGAGCCCGCUAGCAGCAUGGGCCGACUCGACGGCUGAACGGCUCGUCGUGGACGGCGCGGAUGUGGCCGCCGUGCGGCAGGGGUGGGUGGGCUGCGGCUGUAUGCGUGCACGUGUGGACUCGGUCGUGAUGGAGUGAGACGUUGAUAAGGAAGUGCUCUGCUUUCCCUGGCAAGCACGCGAAGGAGGAGGUAACCACGGCAACCACAAAACGACACGUAUAUACAUACAUACAUACAUAUAUAUCAUCAUCCAUGUCGGCGUGCGCCAACAGACCAUCAAAACGCCCCGGACUUUGUUUUCCCCGCCGACCGCCGCCCCCGUGUGCUCGCCCGAGCGGACGGAGCGCGUGCGCGUGCGCCCUUUUCUCCUCGUGCUUCUCCAUUGCUUGUUUUUUGCUUGCUGUCUCUUUUGUUGUUGUCUCCGUUCCUCGACUG
RNAcentral lists this unclassified non-coding RNA (1072 nucleotides) under Leishmania donovani. Its description in RNAcentral is "gene:unknown". Lineage: Eukaryota; Euglenozoa; Kinetoplastea; Trypanosomatida; Trypanosomatidae. The record is from RNAcentral.